This 440-nucleotide ribosomal RNA is filed under the name uncultured bacterium. RNAcentral's name for it is "partial 16S ribosomal RNA". It matches the Rfam family "Bacterial small subunit ribosomal RNA", at positions 338 to 795 of the family's 1533-position model. The record is from RNAcentral.
CCUACGGGCGGCAGCAGUAGGGAAUAUUCCACAAUGGGGGAAACCCUGAUGCAGCAACGCCGCGUGAGCGAUGAAGUAUUUCGGUAUGUAAAGCUCUAUCAUCAGGGAAGAAAAUGACGGUACCUGACUAAGAAGCCCCGGCUAACUACGUACCAGCAGCCGCGGGAAUACGUAGGGGGCAAGCGUUCUCCGGAUUUACUGGGGGUAAAGGGAGCGUAGACGGCGGUGCAAGCCAGAUGUGAAAGCCCGGGGCUUAACCCUGGGACUGCAUUUGAAACUGUGCUGUUAGAGUGUCGGAGAGGUAGGUGGAAUUCUUAGUGUAGCGGUGAAAUGCGUAGAGAUUAGGAGGAACACCAGUGGCGAAGGCGGCCUGCUGGACGAUGACUGACGUUGAGGCGCGAAAGCGUGGGGAGCAAACAGGAUUAGAUACACGAGUAGUC